GAUGAACGCUAGCGGCAGGCUUAAUACAUGCAAGUCGAGGGGCAGCAUGGUUGUAGCAAUACAACUGAUGGCGACCGGCAAACGGGUGCGGAACACGUACGCAAUCUACCCAAAACUGAUGAAUAGCCCUCCGAAAGGAGGAUUAAUACAUCGUAACAUAAUUGAAUGGCAUCAUUUUAAUUAUUAUAGCUCCGGUCGGUUUUGGAUGAGCGUGCGCCUGAUAGGUAGUUGGGCGGGGGUAACGGCCCACCAAGCCUGCGAUCAGUAACUGGUGUGAGAGCACGACCAGUCACACGGGCACUGAGACACGGGCCCGACUCCUACGGGAGGCAGCAGUAAGGAAUUAUUGGUCAAUGGACGCAAGUCUGAACCAGCCAUGCCGCGU
RNAcentral lists this ribosomal RNA (385 nucleotides) under uncultured bacterium. RNAcentral's name for it is "bacterial SSU rRNA". It matches the Rfam family "Bacterial small subunit ribosomal RNA", at positions 28 to 402 of the family's 1533-position model. The record is from RNAcentral.